This 468-nucleotide ribosomal RNA is filed under the name uncultured bacterium. Its description in RNAcentral is "partial 16S ribosomal RNA". It matches the Rfam family "Bacterial small subunit ribosomal RNA", at positions 28 to 507 of the family's 1533-position model. The record is from RNAcentral.
GACGAACGCUGGCGGCGUGCUUAACACAUGCAAGUCGAACGGAAAGGCCCUGCUUUUGUGGGGUGCUCGAGUGGCGAACGGGUGAGUAACGCGUGAGUAACCUGCUCUUGACUUUGGGAUAACUUCAGGAAACUGGGGCUAAUACCGGAUAGGAGCUCAUGUUGCAUGGUGGGGGUUGGAAAGUUUCGGCGGUUGGGGAUGGACUCGCGGCUUAUCAGCUUGUUGGUGGGGUAGUGGCUUACCAAGGCUUUGACGGGUAGCCGGCCUGAGAGGGUGACCGGCCACAUUGGGACUGAGAUACGGCCCAGACUCCUACGGGAGGCAGCAGUGGGGAAUAUUGCACAAUGGGCGGAAGCCUGAUGCAGCAACGCCGCGUUCGGGAUGACGGCCUUCGGGUUGUAAACCGCUUUCGCCUGUGACGAAGCGUGAGUGACGGUAAUGGGUAAAGAAGCACCGGCUAACUACGUG